Molecule: small RNA, 542 nt
Filed under: Pongo abelii (Sumatran orangutan)
Lineage: Eukaryota; Metazoa; Chordata; Mammalia; Primates; Hominidae
Description: processed transcript
Source: RNAcentral
AGAACCUGGAGAAGUGAGAGGAUUGGAAAAGUUCUCAUUGUUCUGAGCUCAGUUAUUUUCUCUGUGCUACAGGGCAGAGGAUCCUUUGGCAUGAAAUAAGAGCUAAGUGGUCCAACAGGCGUUGAAGUGUUAAAACAAGAAUAGAAUAAGUCCUGUGCUAAUCCUGACACAAGAUAGCAGGCUCUGGGGAUGAUAAUGCCUGCUGCUGAUGGGCAGACCAGGGAUUAGCAACCACCCAGGGAAUAUGCUUCAGAUAAACUAAACAGGAGGCUCCCAUCACUUCCAGCAAAAAGCCAGCCCGCUACUUUAUGGAGACAGGAGAGACUGUCAGACAGUUCCUGCUGCUGUCCAGGUGCGUCUGAACAGAGUUUUGUCUUGUCACCCAAGCUGGAGUGCAGUGGCACCAUCUUGCCUCACCUACAACCUCUGCCUCCCGGGUUCAAGCAGUUCUCCUGCCUCAGCCUCCUGAGUAGCUGGGAUUACAGGAGAGCAAGCCCUGGAGGUUCACUCUUUCAAGAAGUCGUGUGCUGAGGUGUAAUGCU